This is a long non-coding RNA of Capsicum annuum, 879 nucleotides long. RefSeq lists it as uncharacterized. The record is from RefSeq and is a predicted model, not a curated record. NCBI's taxonomy places the organism in Eukaryota, Viridiplantae, Streptophyta, Magnoliopsida, Solanales, Solanaceae. The transcript is spliced from 3 exons.
AAAAAAAUAUUCUUAUUAUUCUCGACCUGAUCUCAAAUUCGACCGGCCUCUCUCUCUCUCAAAACUCCCGCUCAAAUCCAACCCUUUCUCUCAAAGCUCUCUCGCCCAAAUCCUAAUAAACCCAUCAGCUCUUUCAUUUCAUAAAAGGAGCUUGGUAUGCCGAUAACGCUGGCUGAGUCUUUCAAGGCUACACACACAAUGAAGAAAAAAAUCCUGGAGAUCCUAAUGUUUGUGUUGAGCCACGAGGUCAACUGACCUAUGAUCGAUUUUUGCUAUCCAUAUAGAAGUUUCGUCGGACUCUGCCAGACGAUAAUCAAGACCUGUCACUUAGUCAAGAGCAGAAUAAGAGAAUAUGGUUAGAUGCGGUUAGUGGUCCUAGUAGGUAUGGGUAUGCUUAGAAGGCCUCGGUAAUUUUCAGGAUGGAGUCAAGAGAGACGAUUUUGACUUUGAAGCAGUAGAUAGCUGAGCUAUCUAAUGAAGAUAAGGCCUUGUAGACUAGGGAAAGGCAAAGGGAUGUACAAUAUGCGGGAAUGAAGGCCUAAUUCGUUGCAUUACUUGCUUCAGGAGGGGGGGUCCUCCUUGUCCUCUCGUUGAUGUCGUUCGCCCUCUCCGACCUCCUCAGUCUCAACCUAUUUCAAAUGGAGUAUAUGGUCAAUACUGAGAUUCGACUGAUGAGUCUAGCAGUGAUGAAGAUGAUGAGGAUUAUAAUGUGGAUAAUGCACCAUCGCAUUGUUAAAGUUGAGUGCUGUGUUAGAUAAUUUAAACUAUGUACUUUAUGAUGAUUUAUUUGAAUUAUUAAUUGUGUUUGAAUGCAUUAGAACUUUGAAGUAGUCCAAUCAAUAGUAUUGUAUAAAUAAUUUGUCUUUUAUGUUUUUUUCA